UGCCCCUUCCUGAAUACCCCAAUUGAGCACUAUCAUGCCAUGGCUGCCAUUUAUGGGACAAUUGGGGCCAAGGGGCUGAAUGGCAGAUCUGGCAAUGAUCUUCUUUCCAUUGAUCUUGAAGACGAGGAGAACGGUGAGGUCAACACGUCACCAAAUGUUGGUGAAUCUUCUGUCCCCAAGGCACCACCAAAAAAAGGCUAAGGUAAAGCAUGUUCGUGAAGAUCACUUAAUUGAAUUCUCAAAGAUGGGUUCAAACUUGUGGCCGAUGCGCUUGUGAAGUCUAGUGGAGAUGAUGAUGAUAUACUAGAUGACCUUUGGGAUGUAGUCUCCACAUUGCCAGAUUUUAGUGAAGAGCACGUAGCCCACUACUAUGCGCAUCUUGUGGACAACCCAAAGAAUGCAAGAGCCUUCAUGAAACUUUUCCAAACCAACAAGUCUGUUUGGGUGAGUAGGUAUAUCAAGAAGAACUUCUAA
This 474-nucleotide ribosomal RNA is filed under the name Triticum aestivum (bread wheat). RNAcentral describes it as "partial small subunit ribosomal RNA". Lineage: Eukaryota; Viridiplantae; Streptophyta; Magnoliopsida; Poales; Poaceae. The record is from RNAcentral.